Molecule: ribosomal RNA, 782 nt
Filed under: Salmonella enterica
Lineage: Bacteria; Pseudomonadati; Pseudomonadota; Gammaproteobacteria; Enterobacterales; Enterobacteriaceae
Description: partial 23S ribosomal RNA
Rfam family: Bacterial large subunit ribosomal RNA
Source: RNAcentral
AGUUGCAGGGUAUAGACCCGAAACCCGGUGAUCUAGCCAUGGGCAGGUUGAAGGUUGGGUAACACUAACUGGAGGACCGAACCGACUAAUGUUGAAAAAUUAGCGGAUGACCUGUGGCUGGGGGUGAAAGGCCAAUCAAACCGGGAGAUAGCUGGUUCUCCCCGAAAGCUAUUUAGGUAGCGCCUCGUGAACUCAUCUCCGGGGGUAGAGCACUGUUUCGGCUAGGGGGCCAUCCCGGCUUACCAACCCGAUGCAAACUGCGAAUACCGGAGAAUGUUAUCACGGGAGACACACGGCGGGUGCUAACGUCCGUCGUGAAGAGGGAAACAACCCAGACCGCCAGCUAAGGUCCCAAAGUCAUGGUUAAGUGGGAAACGAUGUGGGAAGGCCCAGACAGCCAGGAUGUUGGCUUAGAAGCAGCCAUCAUUUAAAGAAAGCGUAAUAGCUCACUGGUCGAGUCGGCCUGCGCGGAAGAUGUAACGGGGCUAAACCAUGCACCGAAGCUGCGGCAGCGACACUUUAGUGUUGUUGGGUAGGGGAGCGUUCUGUAAGCCGUUGAAGGUGUCCUGUGAGGGGUGCUGGAGGUAUCAGAAGUGCGAAUGCUGACAUAAGUAACGAUAAAGCGGGUGAAAAGCCCGCUCGCCGGAAGACCAAGGGUUCCUGUCCAACGUUAAUCGGGGCAGGGUGAGUCGACCCCUAAGGCGAGGCCGAAAGGCGUAGUCGAUGGGAAACGGGUUAAUAUUCCCGUACUUGGUGUUACUGCGAAGGGGGGACGGAGAAGG